This 730-nucleotide ribosomal RNA is filed under the name uncultured bacterium. RNAcentral's name for it is "bacterial SSU rRNA". It matches the Rfam family "Bacterial small subunit ribosomal RNA", at positions 8 to 751 of the family's 1533-position model. The record is from RNAcentral.
AGAGUUUGAUCCUGGCUCAGGAUGAACGCUGGCGGCGUGCUUAACACAUGCAAGUCGAACGGAAAGGCAGUGCUUGCACUGGUACUCGAGUGGCGAACGGGUGAGUAACACGUGGGUGAUCUGCCCUGCACUUCGGGAUAAGCCUGGGAAACUGGGCCUAAUACCGGAUAGGACCACAUUUUGGAUGGUGUGKUGGAAAGUUUUUCGGUGUGGGAUGAGCUCGCGGCCUAUCAGCUUGUUGGUGGGGUAAUGGCCUACCAAGGCGUCGACGGGUAGCCGGCCUGAGAGGGUGUACGGCCACAUUGGGACUGAGAUACGGCCCAGACUCCUACGGGAGGCAGCAGUGGGGAAUAUUGCACAAUGGGCGCAAGCCUGAUGCAGCGACGCCGCGUGGGGGAUGACGGCCUUCGGGUUGUAAACUCCUUUCGCUAGGGACGAAGCGUAUUUGUGACGGUACCUGGAGAAAAAGCACCGGCUAACUACGUGCCAGCAGCCGCGGUAAUACGUAGGGUGCGAGCGUUGUCCGGAAUUACUGGGCGUAAAGAGCUCGUAGGKGGUUUGUCGCGUCUUUGUGUUAAGCCCCCACCUUAACUGCGGGACUGCAGGCGACACGGGCAUAACUUGAGUGCUGUAGGGGAGACUGUAAUUCCUGGUGUAUACGUGCAAUGCGCAGAUAUCAGGAGGAACACCGAUGGCGAAGGCCAGUCUCUGGCAGUAACUGACGCUGAGG